CCUACGGGAGGCAGCAGUGGGGAAUUUUGGACAAUGGGCGAAAGCCUGAUCCAGCCAUACCGCGUGCGGGAAGAAGGCCUUCGGGUUGUAAACCGCUUUUGUCAGGGAAGAAAUGCUCCGGGUUAAUACCCUGGGGUGAUGACGGUACCUGAAGAAUAAGCACCGGCUAACUACGUGCCAGCAGCCGCGGUAAUACGUAGGGUGCAAGCGUUAAUCGGAAUUACUGGGCGUAAAGCGUGCGCAGGCGGUUCUAUAAGACAGAUGUGAAAUCCCCGGGCUCAACCUGGGAACUGCAUUUGUGACUGUAGAGCUAGAGUACGGUAGAGGGGGAUGGAAUUCCGCGUGUAGCAGUGGAAUGCGUAGAUAUGCGGAGGAACACCGAUGGCGAAGGCAAUCCCCUGGACCUGUACUGACGCUCAUGCACGAAAGCGUGGGGAGCAAACAGGAUUAGAUACCCUGGUAGUCCACGCCCUAAACGAUGUCAACUGGUUGUUGGGAGGGUUUCUUCUCAGUAACGAAGCUAACGCGUGAAGUUGACCGCCUGGGGAGUACGGCCGCAAGGUUGAAACUUAAANGAAUUGACGGNNGAGACGNGCGAGACGACACGAGGAGAG
This 614-nucleotide ribosomal RNA is filed under the name uncultured bacterium. Its description in RNAcentral is "bacterial SSU rRNA". It matches the Rfam family "Bacterial small subunit ribosomal RNA", at positions 338 to 948 of the family's 1533-position model. The record is from RNAcentral.